RNA transcript from Podarcis raffonei (Aeolian wall lizard), 1998 nucleotides. It is a transcript of the gene named family with sequence similarity 98 member C, with no coding region annotated. The record is from RefSeq and is a predicted model, not a curated record. The transcript is spliced from 9 exons. NCBI's taxonomy places the organism in Eukaryota, Metazoa, Chordata, Lepidosauria, Squamata, Lacertidae.
CAAUGGGCGCGAAGAGGAAGAGCUCGCCGGGCUUGGGAUCUGCGCGUGCGCGAGGUGACAGGUUGGUUCCAGCGGAGGCAUGGAAGGAGACGCGGCCCGAGGGUGCCUGUCGAUGGAUGGCUUUGCUCGGGUAGCUGAAGCCGGCGUCUCCAGCCCCGAGUUCACAGCUCUUUGCUCUUGGCUGGUUUCCGAGCUCCGCAGCCUUUGCCCUCUCGAAGAGGACGUGAAUCCCACUCGUGGUCCUGGGGAUGCCGAGACCUUUCAGAUCGAAGUGAGCGGCCUCCUUGGGGAGCUGCAUUGUCCCUACUCCUCACUGACUUCGGGGGACGUCACAGCCAGGCUUAGCACCCCGGACAGGUGCCUCCAGCUCCUGUAUUUUUUGAGCUCAGAGCUCCUGGCCGCCCGGCUGCUGGCUCGGAAGACGCUCCGUUCGCCACCGGAAAAAGAAGACCCAGCUGGCGAAGCGGUGAAGGAGCUCCAACUCAUCUGCCAAGCCCUGGGAAUGCCGGACCUGGAUCUAGGCUGCCCAGUCCAUCAAGCCAUGGCUGACAUAGAAGCCAAGAUUUCGGAGGUGCUUUCUUCACUACCCCCUGAACACCAGCAGAUGGCGCCGCUCCUAAAGGCCACACUGACCUCCGAGGAAUGGGGGGCGCUGGAGGGCAUACGGGAUUUGCUGUGCACGGAGUAUCAGUGCCGCCAACGCAUGAUGGCCACUCGUCUCGACGUCACCGUAGAGUCCUUCCAUUGGUCCGAGAGGGCAAAGGACCGCAGCGGAGCUAUGUCAGAGGCCUUCAAACCCUUGCGGCAAUCUUUGCUGGAGGAGUCCCAAGUCACCGUUCCUCACCUGCUGGCUGCGCGGGAGGACUUCUCACGCAUCGUGAAGACCAGCAGCGGAGCUUCGCGGGACAAGACAAGCUGUGCCGUCAACAAGGUGCUGAUGGUUGGUGACGUCCCGGAUCGCGGUGGGCGUCCGAAUGAGAUCGAACCCCCCAUGCCCACGUGGGAGAAGAGACGAGAAGGAGGCGGCGGCCACCAGCGAUGGGGCAAGCGGAGCAAGAAGAAGAAAAAAUAGCAAGGGGCUGGAUCCUGACCUCCUCCGGCGUGGGGUAUGGUCAAAACCACCCUUAACUUUAGGGCAGGGAAGAGCUUCAGGAAGUUAACCGCAGCAAGGAUGAGCGGUGGAUACAGCCUCAAAGCCCAGCCAUCACCAAAGAUGGUUUCAGUGUUGCUUUUCCCUAAAAUGCGAGGAAAUGCAGUUUACAAGAAAGGUGCCCAUUACGUUGAAAUUGAGACAGUGGGCAGGGGCAUGUGUGCUAACAUCAGACAUCUCUCCCCCCUUCCCCACCCCCCUUUCAGUUGCUUUAAAGUUGUUGGACGUUUGUGUUGUCCGCAUUAUAGCUUGGUGUCAGAUGAAUUGCACCUUUCGAGCAGAGAUGGGGAGUCUGUGGUUCCUUCAGAUGCCAUUGGACUUCAUCUCCCAGCACCCCCAGUUAGUGGGGCCAGUGAUCGGGUGUGAAGGGAGUUGGGGGCCAAUGUUCCCCGUCCCUUAUCUAGUUAAUACACAACUUGCAAGGAUGAAGGAACAAGAGGUGCUGGCAAAUGUCUGGAUUUCUCAAGGUUUCUUUUUGGGCUUUAGAUGCCGAAUGUGGGUAGAAGCAACCUUCCUUUUGGGGCUGGGUGGGCAGCAUUUAUGAGAAAUCCAGCUUUAGAAAUGUCCCGUUAGAUUUAACCAGACAAUGUAGGAAGAGGGAAGAUAUUAAUUUGGGAUUUUUAAGCACAAACCCAAACUUGUUUGUACCUUUUCCUCUGGAUUAUGCAGCGGUUGAGAAAGGCUGAUCUACAGGGUGGCUCAAUUGCAACAGCCAGUGAGUAUGGGGUUUUGUUUGAAUGGUGCAAGUUAAUUUUUGUCCUUGUUCUGAAGGGACAGGAUUGAAAAUGGUCAGGCUGGGUUUAGUGUAACACUAAGAGAUUAAACAUUUUCCUUGUCAUUCAAACUCA